AGGACGAACGCUGGCGGCGUGCUUAACACAUGCAAGUCGAACGAGGUCCAUCCGGUAGCAAUACCGGAGAAGACCUAGUGGCGAACGGGUGAGUAACACGUGAGCAACCUGCCCCGAAGACCGGGAUAACAGCGGGAAACCGCUGCUAAUACCGGAUGCCCCCACCGGGUCGCAUGACCUGGUGAGGAAAUGGAUUCCGCUUCGGGAGGGGCUCGCGGCCUAUCAGCUUGUUGGUGGGGUAACGGCCUACCAAGGCGACGACGGGUAGCUGGUCUGAGAGGACGAUCAGCCACACUGGGACUGAGACACGGCCCAGACUCCUACGGGAGGCAGCAGUGGGGAAUAUUGCGCAAUGGGCGAAAGCCUGACGCAGCAACGCCGCGUGAGGGAUGAAGGCCUUCGGGUUGUAAACCUCUUUCGAGCAGGGACGAUAAUGACGGUACCUGCAGAAGAAGCUCCGGCCAACUACGUGCCAGCAGCCGCGGU
This 486-nucleotide ribosomal RNA is filed under the name uncultured bacterium. Its description in RNAcentral is "SSU rRNA". It matches the Rfam family "Bacterial small subunit ribosomal RNA", at positions 26 to 521 of the family's 1533-position model. The record is from RNAcentral.